This 467-nucleotide ribosomal RNA is filed under the name uncultured bacterium. RNAcentral's name for it is "partial 16S ribosomal RNA". It matches the Rfam family "Bacterial small subunit ribosomal RNA", at positions 28 to 506 of the family's 1533-position model. The record is from RNAcentral.
GACGAACGCUGGCGGCGUGCUUAACACAUGCAAGUCGAACGGAAAGGCCCUGCUUUUGUGGGGUGCUCGAGUGGCGAACGGGUGAGUAACACGUGAGUAACCUGCCCUUGACUUUGGGAUAACUUCAGGAAACUGGGGCUAAUACCGGAUAGGAGCUCCUGCUGCAUGGUGGGGGUUGGAAAGUUUCGGCGGUUGGGGAUGGACUCGCGGCUUAUCAGCUUGUUGGUGGGGUAGUGGCUUACCAAGGCUUUGACGGGUAGCCGGCCAGAGAGGGUGACCGGCCACAUUGGGACUGAGGUACGGCCCAGACUCCUACGGGAGGCAGCAGUGGAGAAUAGUGCACAAUGGGCGGAAGCAUGAUGGAGCAACGCCGCGUGCGGGAUGACGGCCUUCGGGUAGUAAACAGCUUUCGCGUGUGACGAAGCGUGAGUGACGGUAAUGGGUAAAGAAGCACCGGCUAACUACGU